Molecule: ribosomal RNA, 388 nt
Filed under: uncultured bacterium
Lineage: Bacteria
Description: bacterial SSU rRNA
Rfam family: Bacterial small subunit ribosomal RNA
Source: RNAcentral
GACGAACGCUGGCGGCGUGCUUAACACAUGCAAGUCGAGCGGUAAGGCCCUUUCGGGGGUACACGAGCGGCGAACGGGUGAGUAACGCGUGGGUGACCUGCCCUCAGCUCUAGGAUAAGCCUGGGAAACUGGGUCUAAUACUGGAUAUGACUCCACGGUGCAUGUCGUGGGGUGGAAAGCCUUGUGCGGCUGAGGAUGGGCCCGCGGCCUAUCAGCUUGUUGGUGGGGUGAUGGCCUACCAAGGCGACGACGGGUAGCCGGCCUGAGAGGGCGACCGGCCACACUGGGACUGAGACACGGCCCAGACUCCUACGGGAGGCAGCAGUGGGGAAUCUUGCGCAAUGGGCGAAAGCCUGACGCAGCGACGCCGCGUGAGGGAUGACGGCCU